GACGAACGCUGGCGGCGUGCCUAAUACAUGCAAGCAGAACGCACAGUUUAUACCGUAGCUUGCUACACCAUAAACUGUGAGUUGCGAACGGGUGAGUAACGCGUAGGUAACCUGCCUGGUAGCGGGGGAUAACUAUUGGAAACGAUAGCUAAUACCGCAUAAUAUUAAUUAUUGCAUGAUAAUUGAUUGAAAGAUGCGAUUGCAUCACUACCAGAUGGACCUGCGUUGUAUUAGCUAGUAGGUGAGGUAACGGCUCACCUAGGCGACGAUACAUAGCCGACCUGAGAGGGUGAUCGGCCACACUGGGACUGAGACACGGCCCAGACUCCUACGGGAGGCAGCAGUAGGGAAUCUUCGGCAAUGGACGAAAGUCUGACCGAGCAACGCCGCGUGAGUGAAGAAGGUUUUCGGAUCGUAAAGCUCUGUUGUAAGAGAAGAACGGGUGUGAGAGUGGAAAGUUCACACUGUGACGGUAUCUUACCAGAAAGGGACGGCUAACUACGUG
Molecule: ribosomal RNA, 505 nt
Filed under: uncultured bacterium
Lineage: Bacteria
Description: partial 16S ribosomal RNA
Rfam family: Bacterial small subunit ribosomal RNA
Source: RNAcentral